UUCAUAGGGUAGUUCAUACAUGCAUUUCCAAGGGGAGUGGGUCAUUGCCAGUGUUUUAAAAACUACAUAGGGGUGUGUGUGUGUGUGUAUGUUUAUUUUAUACACACAUAUUUGUAUAUUCUAAUAUAUUACUAAGGCAAUUUUAAUGAAUUACCAUGUAUAUAAAAAAAUAGCUGUCACUUGGCACACAGGUUUGUAUGUAUGUGUAUAUAUAUAUGUAUGUAUGUAUGGUGUGGGUACAUAGUCUUAAAAAUUACCCAGUAAUGUGAUUUGACAUCAAGUUGCAGCAAUUAAUAUCUUGGUGUUUGUAAGUAAGUUGCAUGAUAAACACAAAUGACUACCACUUGUCUGUAGAUGAAAAUCUGGUUACCCUUAUGGUUCCAGAAGGAAAAACAGACUUAUCUUGCCUGUUUCAUAAACAGCAUAAAAGAUUAAUACAUGCAGAACAUGCUCUUAUUCUGGAGGGGAUGGGGGAUCCAGAACAGGGCUUUAUUUCCUCCCAUCUUUCCUACAUUUACAUAGUUUUCUUAACCUGUUCCCUGUCACCUAUUUUUUUUAACAUUAGUAAGUCCUAGACCAAAGGUUUUGUAUUCUUCCAUUCCAUCUGACUGCUUUUUUGGAUGGUGGCCAUUCUCUGGUACACUGGUACCGAAGAUUUCACCAUGGAAAGCUGUGCUUGACCUUUCAACCUGAUCCUUUUUUUCAUCUUGACAUAAUAAGGCUGCCAUGUCUUCACCCUUCAGUGGAAAAGCCCGUCGUUCCCACCACAAAGACUGAAAGGGGAAAAAUUUUCAGUUAAGUUUCAACUAACUUGUUUUGUUUAAAUUCAUCUAACAAGUAAUCUGUACAUGUCUAUAUUGUAAUAAUUGUUCUGUUCUUUAGCACAUAAAUGUACAAUUUUUCAUUUCAACUUAAAUAGCAACUCAAAAUGGAAUAUAUUGAGAAUUGUUGAGUGACUUUUGGGAUUUAUUUCUUUACUUUGCCUCUGCCAAGAAGAGGAAAUGCUGCCAUAGGCAGUGGUCUUCAUUUCCGACCUAAGAGUACUUUGGGAAAGUGUUCUUAGGUUUGAUAUACUUCUACAGUAUCUUCAUUUUCAUUAUUAAAGGUACCUAUUAACUUUUUCUUUCCUGAGCUUUCUGCAACUUGCCUAUUAAUUCUAUAAUCUCCAUUCCAUUCUAGAUCUAGUUCUUUUUCAGUAUCUAUUUAGGAAGAAAGGUGUAAGAACUUUAUGGAUGCAGUGUUAGAAAGCAGUCCCUUUAAAGUAGGAACUGGGUCUGUGGUGAGGCAUGUAAAAAUCUUAAGAUAUGAGGAGAAAGAAAUAGCAGCUAACUUUGGCCAUGUAGCAGGUGCUAUUCUUCAUUAAUCAGGUUUGUUUCGUAAUGAAACUUUGAUAGUACUUCCACUCUCUAAUAGAUAAAUAAGUACUUGGAAGUUCGUAUUGACUUGUUACACAAGGUGAUUAUAGUUAGUAGUGGACACAAAAUGCUGCAAUACAGAUCUUCUAUACCUAACUUAUUGAAUUUGUUAUGUAAUGAUGUAAUAAACUUAAUUUUUUUCAAGUAGUUUCUACAAACAAGUAGUUAAAAGUCAAGGAAUGGGAAGUUUAAUCAUACAUAUUACACUUACCUUGGUUUCUUGACUUUGAUUUAAAGAAGGUAAGCCAUAUGCACACAGAUCCUGGUUCUCUGAAGGAAGCCCAGGAGGACUUGCAGCAGCACAUUGCUGACUGCUACUGAAGUUAUUAGGGUAUUCUUUCAAAAGCAAGUCCUGUCCUUCAACAUUUUUACUGUAAGCUCUAGCAAGAAAAUCAGGAAAACACAAUUAUUUUUUAUUUUUUGAGGUCUUGAAAAUUUAUGAACAACCCAAGGUAUCACUGAGUCAAGUUAACUUGGUAACUUUAAACAGUUUUGCCCAAAGAUUUUUAAAAAUUCCCCUGGUGCUAUUUAUUAUUUUCAUACUCAGAGGAUGAAAUAGUACUUUAUGAAAUAUUUUACCGAAUUAUAACAGUUGUGGGGGGAGGGUUAUUCUUGUUUUUUAUUUGGGUUUGCUUUUGUCUUUUGUCUGACUAAUUAAAUGAAAGAUGCUCCUUAACUAAAGUGACUACCAGACUUCACAC
RNAcentral lists this long non-coding RNA (2116 nucleotides) under Homo sapiens (human). RNAcentral describes it as "HSALNT0046563". The record is from RNAcentral. Lineage: Eukaryota; Metazoa; Chordata; Mammalia; Primates; Hominidae.